RNAcentral lists this ribosomal RNA (622 nucleotides) under uncultured bacterium. RNAcentral's name for it is "bacterial SSU rRNA". It matches the Rfam family "Bacterial small subunit ribosomal RNA", at positions 58 to 669 of the family's 1533-position model. The record is from RNAcentral.
CAAGUCGAGCGGCAGCACAGAGAAACUUGUUUCUCGGGUGGCGAGCGCCCUUAAAGUGACUAAUGCCUGGGAAAUUGCCCUGAUGUGGGGCAUUACCAUUGGAAACGAUGGCUAAUACCGCAUGAUGCCUACGGGCCAAAGAGGGGGACCUUCGGGCCUCUCGCGUCAGGAUAUGCCCAGGUGGGAUUAGCUAGUUGGUGAGGUAAGGGCUCACCAAGGCGACGAUCCCUAGCUGGUCUGAGAGGAUGAUCAGCCACACUGGAACUGAGACACGGUCCAGACUCCUACGGGAGGCAGCAGUGGGGAAUAUUGCACAAUGGGCGCAAGCCUGAUGCAGCCAUGCCGCGUGUGUGAAGAAGGCCUUCGGGUUGUAAAGCACUUUCAGUAGGGAGGAAGGUGGUAGUGUUAAUAGCGCUAUCAUUUGACGUUACCUACAGAAGAAGCACCGGCUAACUCCGUGCCAGCAGCCGCGGUAAUACGGAGGGUGCGAGCGUUAAUCGGAAUUACUGGGCGUAAAGCGCAUGCAGGUGGUUUGUUAAGUCAGAUGUGAAAGCCCCGGGCUCCACCUGGGAAUUGCAUUUGAAACUGGCAAACUAGAGUACUGUAAAGGGGGGUAGAAUUU